RNAcentral lists this transfer RNA (77 nucleotides) under Polyangiaceae bacterium. RNAcentral's name for it is "tRNA-Met". It matches the Rfam family "tRNA". Rfam says of the family: Transfer RNA (tRNA) molecules are approximately 80 nucleotides in length. The record is from RNAcentral. Lineage: Bacteria; Pseudomonadati; Myxococcota; Polyangiales; Polyangiaceae.
GCCAAGGUAGCUCAGUUGGUUAGAGCGGGCGUUUCAUACGCGCUAGGUCGGCGGUUCGACUCCGCCCCUUGGCACCA